GACCUGAUAGCACAGUGGUUAGUGUGUCUGCUUCAAUUCGUCCCCGCGUUUCAUAGAUUUAAGCAGAGGAUCUCCGUUCGAUUCGGGGUCAGGUCA
Mycena latifolia is the source of this 96-nucleotide non-coding RNA. The record is from the annotation of a GenBank genome assembly. NCBI's taxonomy places the organism in Eukaryota, Fungi, Basidiomycota, Agaricomycetes, Agaricales, Mycenaceae.